RNAcentral lists this ribosomal RNA (568 nucleotides) under Yamadazyma mexicana. Its description in RNAcentral is "eukaryotic LSU rRNA". It matches the Rfam family "Eukaryotic large subunit ribosomal RNA", at positions 1 to 585 of the family's 3401-position model. The record is from RNAcentral. Lineage: Eukaryota; Fungi; Ascomycota; Pichiomycetes; Serinales; Debaryomycetaceae.
GUAAGUAACCCCCUUUAUUUUUUUCAUUUUUUUCUAGCCGGGAAAAUUAAGCUCCAUAUAUCAGCUUACUAGUCACGAGUGCAGUGGUAAUUGCUCACAUUUGAAAUCUGGCCCUUCGGUGUCCGAGUUGUAAUCGAAGAAGGUUCUUUGGUUUUGGUUCUUGUCUAUGUUCCUUGGAUCAGGUCGUAACAGAGGGUGAGAAUUCCGUGCGAUGAGAUGCCCAAUUUCAUGUAAAGUUCCUUCGUCGAGUCGAGUUGUUUGGGAAUGCAGCUCUACGUGGGUGGUAAAUUCUAUCUAAAGCUAAAUUUUGGCGAGAGAGCCGAUAGCGAACAAGUACUGUGAAGGAAAGAUGAAAAGAACUUUGAAAAGAGAGUGAAAAAGUACGUGAAAUUGUUGAAAGGGAAGGGCUUGAGGUCAGACUUGGUUUUACCAGGCCAGCAUCAGUUUGGAUGGCAGGAUAAUAGCUUAGGAAUGUGGCACUGCUUCGGUAGUGUGUUAUAGCCUGGGUUGAUACUGCCUGUCUAGACUGAGGACUGCUCUUGACUGCGUGCAGUGUCAGUCGAGUUUU